GAUGAACGCUGGCGGCGUGCCUAAUACAUGCAAGUCGAGCGAACAGACGAGGAGCUUGCUCCUCUGACGUUAGCGGCGGACGGGUGAGUAACACGUGGAUAACCUACCUAUAAGACUGGGAUAACUUCGGGAAACCGGAGCUAAUACCGGAUAAUAUAUUGAACCGCAUGGUUCAAUAGUGAAAGACGGUUUUGCUGUCACUUAUAGAUGGAUCCGCGCCGCAUUAGCUAGUUGGUAAGGUAACGGCUUACCAAGGCAACGAUGCGUAGCCGACCUGAGAGGCUGAUCGGCCACACUGGAACUGAGACACGGUCCAGACUCCUACGGGAGGCAGCAGUAGGGAAUCUUCCGCAAUGGGCGAAAGCCGGACGGAGCAACGCCGCGUGAGUGAUGAAGGUCUUCGGAUCGUAAAACUCUGUUAUUAGGGAAGAACAAAUGUGUAAGUAACUAUGCACGUCUUGACGGUACCUAAUCAGAAAGCCACGGCUAACUACGUG
Molecule: ribosomal RNA, 497 nt
Filed under: uncultured bacterium
Lineage: Bacteria
Description: partial 16S ribosomal RNA
Rfam family: Bacterial small subunit ribosomal RNA
Source: RNAcentral